ACAAACACCCGGUCUUUCAGAGCUUGGAAAGUAACUCUCACAUGAAUAUGCUCUCCCAACACCUAAACAUGUUUUUUAGGGGGGGCUGGCUGGCUCAAUCGGUAGAGCACGUGACUCUCAAUUUUAGGCUUGUGAGUUUGAGCCCCAUGUCAGGGGUAGAGUUUACUUUUAAAAUAAAUAAAUUUUAACUAAGUAACUAACUAAAUAAUAAAUUAAAAACAUGCUUUUUUUAAAAAAAAAAUUGUUCUUUUUAAAGUAGGCUCUAUACCCAACGUGAGGCUUGAACUCAUGACCCGGAGGACAAGAGUCACAUGCUCUUCUGACUGAGCCAGACAGCCACCCCAUAAAACCACAGUUUAGUUUCCUUAGCUAGAAAAUGAGUAUAGUACUUGCCCUGCCUUCCUCACUGGACACUGAGGUCAAGCCAGAGGAUGCAAAGGAGACUUAUUUUCAUACAAGAAAACCUACCUCCCCCCCGCCCACCCACACCCACACACACACCCUUCCAUCCACCAAACAAGAUGAAAGCCAUGAGCAUGAGCACACUUAUCCCGGGUAACAGGAGAGACCAGACUUGGGCCACAGAAGCAGCAGUCAGAAAAAAGGUGACUACAUCAGGCACAGAGCCCAGCUCAAAUCUAAGUUCAAACGCAAAAUACUUGAGUUCCACAAAAGCUGAGCUGAGUACAGCUGGGCCAGCCCCUCUCCCCAGGGGCUCCCCGGUCUUCCCUUCGGAGCUCGCCAGCCCUGGUAGCCGGCCCUUAGCACACGCAGGGACCGAGUAAAACGUGACAGGCCAAUGGCACUGCCUGGAUGGAGAGGAAACUUUGGUUUUGCUGUUUUCCUGGCAACUCCAGGCCCGCAUCAGAAAAUCUCUUCCCCUCCCUUCUUAGGACAUCUCCCAUGGCAUACACUCAACUGUGCACAAGACGGUGCUGGGAUGGCGCCUGGCCUUGGAUUAACUGAGCUGCUGUUGUACGCACUGCUGCACCUGGCACCUCAGACAGGCUGCGAGGACGGAAGCGGCAGCAGGUAAAUUAUCCCUAACAAGGUUCAUGCCCACAAGUGCGAGAAAAGCCGGAUCCUGGCUCUCCAGAAGACGACCCUUCCUUCAGCAGUGGACUAGCGCGGCACACACAGUGCCGGAGAGCUGCGGCCCCCGGCUCUGAACCGUUAUUUCCACGCUGAUAAAUUCAUGAUUUAUGAAAGCAACUACUGCCAGCCCUCCCUCCCUCCUCCUCUGCUACAGCUUGUUAGACACGAAUGGCAACAACCGUCUUAAAUACUUGGAAUUUUAUUUCAGGCCAAAGCCCCUCAACUCUGAACUAAAUGCCAUGACAGUCCCACAGCACAGGCUGGUGUUAAAGGAGCCCGCAGACAGGGCGCGGUGGCCAGAGGAGGGGGGGGUGGGCGAGAGGAGAACCGCACACCCACACCCACACCCACACCUAAGCGCCACGCAAUGCACACCGCCAGCGGCACUCGGCUCCUACCCGCUCGGCUCUCCACGGAGAGGAAUUAUGGCAGCAGGAGGGCAGAACGCCUCAUUGUG
This is a long non-coding RNA of Neofelis nebulosa (Clouded leopard), 1552 nucleotides long. RefSeq lists it as uncharacterized. The transcript is spliced from 2 exons. The record is from RefSeq and is a predicted model, not a curated record. NCBI's taxonomy places the organism in Eukaryota, Metazoa, Chordata, Mammalia, Carnivora, Felidae.